This 250-nucleotide ribosomal RNA is filed under the name uncultured bacterium. RNAcentral's name for it is "partial 16S ribosomal RNA". It matches the Rfam family "Bacterial small subunit ribosomal RNA", at positions 524 to 773 of the family's 1533-position model. The record is from RNAcentral.
UACAGAGGCCUCGAGCGCUAAUCGGAAUCACUGGGCUUAAAGGGUGCGUAGGCGGGUCCGUAAGUGCCUUGUGAAAUCCCAUGGCUUAACCAUGGAAUGGCUUGGUAGACUGCGGGCCUUGAGGUCGGUAGGGGCCGCUGGAACGGUUGGUGGAGCGGUGAAAUGCGUAGAUAUCAACCGGAACGCCGAAGGUGAAGACAGGCGGCUGGGCCGAUUCUGACGCUGAGGCACGAAAGCGUGGGGAGCAAAC